CCUACGGGAGGCAGCAGUAGGGAAUAUUGCUCAAUGGGGGAAACCCUGAAGCAGCGACGCCGCGUGGACGAUGAAGGUUUUCGGAUUGUAAACUCCUUUUGUUAGAGAAGAUAAUGACGGUAUCUAACGAAUAAGCACCGGCUAACUCCGUGCCAGCAGCCGCGGUAAUACGGAGGGUGCAAGCGUUACUCGGAAUCACUGGGCGGAAAGAGCGCGUAGGCGGGAUAGCAAGUCAGAUGUGAAAUCCUAUGGCUUAACCAUAGAACUGCAUUUGAAACUGUUAUUCUAGAGUAUGGGAGAGGUAGGUGGAAUUCUUGGUGUAGGGGUAAAAUCCGUAGAGAUCAAGAGGAAUACUCAUUGCGAAGGCGACCUGCUAGAACAUAACUGACGCUGAUGCGCGAAAGCGUGGGGAGCAAACAGGAUUAGAUACCCUUGUAGUC
RNAcentral lists this ribosomal RNA (440 nucleotides) under uncultured bacterium. Its description in RNAcentral is "partial 16S ribosomal RNA". It matches the Rfam family "Bacterial small subunit ribosomal RNA", at positions 338 to 795 of the family's 1533-position model. The record is from RNAcentral.